AUGUGUAAGUCUAUCCAUGUCUAGUCCUACUUUCGCAACAAGGAGUUAAGGACAAAGCAAACUAGUCUUUGCAUUUAUUACCCACGAUUAAACGGUGUUUUGUUUUAGAAAUUAUUUGCCAGAAAUUCAACUUUAUCUCGUUAAAAUGGCUGAAAUUAACAACUCAGUCUACCUUGAGGGCCUCGAUUUUUCACUCGAACAGACCACAUGUUUCCAAAUUUCCCUGGGAUUAUUUACUUCCUUCCUUUUUCUUUUUCUUCUAUUCUGUUUCGCCCUCAAGGAAAAGCUGAAACCUCUUCUAGAAUUUGACAUUGGCAGUUUACAAGCUACACCAGAAACCAACAUCCAUGUCAUAACUAGAACUGAUGAACAAAAUGAAUAUUUUCAUGGUCGAAAGGAAUUGGGAACAUCUGUAUGCCAGUCAAUAGGGAAAUGCAUUGUGAAAUGUGCUAUUUUUAUGUUGGACAAUGCUAAUGGGUUGGAAACGUUGGAAAGUGAGGUGGUAUUUACAAGCUUUGACGUUUCUUUGGUUGAUCGAAGCUGCUAUAGAGGGAAUUCCUCAGAACAUUCUACUGUGGUAUAUCAAGUAUGAAAAUGAAGAUUUAAAUAUAGAUCUUCACAACACAAAGGAUAUUUCUUUAGUCCUUAACUUCGUAUCUUCCCUACUAAGUGUAUUUUUUGCUACAAAGUACUUCAAUAAAGACGAAGACCAAAGGCUUGAGCAUUCAAAAAGAACGGUUGGAAAAUCGUACAGAAAUAAAUGUGUAUCUUUUUUGCGUGAAAUUGCUUAUUUACUCGCGUUAUUUUCUGAAAAAGGUAUCGAAAUUUUUAUUCGAAUUGUUAUGUUUGGAACAUUUGCAUCAGUUGUUGGAUGGGAGCCAGCUUUUUAUGUAUUUUUAGGCCAUUUUGGCAUUUUUCUUUUCUUAACUUGGUAUUGCUUUCGACAACUUAAACAAAAGCAUAUUUACUAUGAUAACUGCGCAAAUAACCCUAGUUUGAUGUCUAGUCUUUUAGUUGGUAUUUUUGCAAACAUAUUUUUCUGUCAUUCCUGGGCAUUUUGCCACAUUAUGUCCAGAAAAGUUGUAUAUUUACUUUACUUUCUUUUGUUUUACGCCACUUGCAUUUCUCUCUCAGUAUCAUCUAAUGCAAUUUCUGGUGUGGUGGAUGAUUUUUCAAUAAGUUUAUACUCAGUCAUUAUUUUUCAAAUCAUGUUUCUUGCGUUUUGUUUUACUUUGAGAGAAUGUAGAAGGAAAAGAUUGUUACAAAGAUAGAUAGCUCUGACUUCUUGAUCCUUUUCUAUGAGA
Molecule: RNA transcript, 1304 nt
Organism: Saccostrea echinata
Lineage: Eukaryota; Metazoa; Mollusca; Bivalvia; Ostreida; Ostreidae
Exons: 4
Source: RefSeq, a predicted model, not a curated record